Molecule: RNA transcript, 1567 nt
Organism: Dreissena polymorpha
Lineage: Eukaryota; Metazoa; Mollusca; Bivalvia; Myida; Dreissenidae
Exons: 9
Source: RefSeq, a predicted model, not a curated record
GUUUUAACAUGUGUAAGGUACAUCUUACAAAAUAAAUAAAUAAUAAUUGUGGUAUCAAGUGUAAACCGAUAUUUGGAAGCGUUCAGAAACAAGACCUUAGCUGUUUAUAAUUAUAUUCUAUAAGACUAAGUUAAGUGAUAAGUGGCUAGGCCUAACCACAUUAAAAUGUCGAGUUGCUAGUUCCACAGCGGUGCUCACUGAGUAGCCUCCACUUGAAGCGAACUAUCCAUGGCAAGAAUAGCAGACGACCCAAUGUCCGGCUUACGAGAUCAUAUGCUUCACGACUAAUUUUUUGUAAGCUACAAAAUAGGAAAGAAAGUCUGUUUUAUGGCAUUGACAAAUGAAAAAAGAAAAUAAAGAUUUUGACCAUCCUUACAACAAGUGUUACCAUAUUGAAGCCAUGGAAAACAUUGCAUCUCAGUUUACAGAUGUCAACUUGGAAAAUGAAUUAAAUAGACGCAUCGAAGAAAUAAAUGGCAAAUCUGUUGAACACUCUUAUGAGAAACAGGGCCCAAAGGUUGUGAUAUACCCGAUUGAAGGUCACAACCAUGCUGUUGUUGUACAUUGUGAUAAUUCCUACAGCAUUGUGAAAAUUGAUUUUAAGGGCCCAAAACCUGUUCUGAAAUGUUCUACAUGCUGUAAAAAAAGGAGUGCGAGUCAAGCUGCAUUCACAUUGAUUCCACCCUACAUCAAGACCUUGCUGUGUCUGAUGUCACACAGACGCUGCUACAGCAACUUAAUAUAAAGCCUAAGUGGCGUUCUCGCUAUAUCCCUAUGGCAGUGUCAUCAACAAAAAUACCAUUCUCUCCAGCUCCAGAAGAGCAGAAAAAAAAGAAAAGAUUUUAGAGACCUGGUACAUGAAGAUGGAUCCAUUCAUCUUAUACCUGACUCUGAUGGCCAUUGUGUAUGUGGCGGGGACUGGCUUGAAUAAACUGAGCUAGAAUGUACGAGAAUCAUAAGUGCUACGGAUAUGUUGCAUGCUAAAGCUCAUAAGCUGGUAAUAUAUGACAAUGCUUGUAACGUGCACAAAUAUUGUCUGAACCGUGAUUCUGUCUUCUUCCGAGAUUCCUGGUUUGUGGUUGAUAGGUUUCACUGGGUAAAUCAUGUAGGCUGUCACAAGGGUUACAAUUUGUCAGCAUAUGUCCAACACAACAAGGUCAACUCACAGGUGGCAGAACAAAGGAAUGCCACGCUGAAAAAACUAAAAUCUAUGCUUUCUUACAUGAAUUUGGAAAAUUUCAACAACCAUCUUAAGCUGUACCUGUGGUUUAGGAGUAUGUUGUCAGCAUGGAAAAUGGACAAUGAACUGCCAUCAAAAUAUGCAAUGUUAUUUGCAAGCCUUGUGCCAAUAUAUUCAAAAUUGCAUUAAACACAUUAUUGUGCAAUUUGAGCAGACAGUAUUCAAAUACUACCCCAUUCAAAAUGUAAGUAAAAAUGGAGUGAACAUUUUUGUGAUUCUUAUAUAGAAUUAUUUAACAAUAUGUUUUAUUAAAGUAAUUACAAACUCUAUGGGAGCUUUUGAUUUUGACGUGAAUGAUGCUGUUGACCAUACUACAUACAUAUAUAU